UCUCUCAUUGAGGAAGUCAAGUUGGGGCAGGAACCCGAGGCAGGAACCAGAAAGCACAAAAUGAAGAAGAGGCCACGGAGGGCAUCCCCAAGUGUAUAAGACUGCAGCGAUCUGGAAAUGGGCACAGGCGUGCACUGACUCUGUUCUCGGCUCUUCGCUGGGGACGUGUGUAAUCUGACUACCUGCUCUGAGUUCCUGCCAUCUUGACUCCCCGGCUAGGAUGGACUGUGAUCUGGCAUGGAUGCUUUCCUACGGUGCACAAAAGCUAUGUGCCGGGGCACUGCAUAAAUAUUUGAUGCCGACCUUUUGGCAAAAGGCCACCGUACCAUUCCGAUCUUGUGAUUUGCAAGAAGGACAUGGGAAAAGAUCUGCCACACCAUCUCUAGAGGUAAAUCCUAUGUACAAUUCUCUUCUGUAGGCAUGUGGUGCAGUUCCAAGAUCAGACUUUGGUUUCGGGCUGUAAAGUAUCUGGGACAUGCACACCAGGACAGCUGGUCAAUUCAGCUAGUCUAAUCUUUGCAGGUUUAUAAACUAGAGUUAUUUGAUCUUUGAACAAUCUAAGGUAGGACUCAACUUUCCACAUUCAGAGGGCCCCUAUUUUCCACUCUAUGUUGAUUUCUGAUGAUUCCAGGCAUGGCCCCACUCUCUGUCUCAGUUAACUAUAGCUGCACCAGUGGUUAGGAUGUCAUGCGAUCUCCUUCGAAUAUAAACACUGUUGAAUCACCAUCAGAUCACCACUGCUGCCGUCUCUUACCUCCCCCACCCCAUCCUCUACCUUCCUGCAUUCUUAUCCAGAGGGCCAGUGAAGGUUCACUCCCCUCUGUCCACAGGGACUAGCCUGCAAGUUCAAUGCCUAACAGACCAGGUAAGGAUGUGUCUUAAUCACUGCCUCGUUGUGAUGAGAUACCCCAACCAAAGCACCGUCAAGGAGAGGGCUUGCUUGCCUUAAGGUUCAAGGUUACAGUCUAUCACGGGAGGAAGUCAUCACAGUAGGGCUUGAGGCAGAUGCUCACAUUGAUUGUGUCCUCAGUCAACGCUCAGCUCAUUUUCUCUCUGUUCUAGACAGUCUAGGAAGGAUCUCAACCCAGUGAAUGGUGCCAUUCCCAGUGGGUAGGUAUCCCCAUCUCAAUUAACUUGACAUGCACACAACAC
Mus musculus (house mouse) is the source of this 1152-nucleotide long non-coding RNA. RefSeq annotates it as predicted gene, 52302. The transcript has 3 exons. The record is from RefSeq and is a predicted model, not a curated record. NCBI's taxonomy places the organism in Eukaryota, Metazoa, Chordata, Mammalia, Rodentia, Muridae.